GAUGAACGCUGGCGGCGUGCCUAAUACAUGCAAGUCGAGCGAAUGGAUUAAGAGCUUGCUCUUAUGAAGUUAGCGGCGGACGGGUGAGUAACACGUGGGUAACCUGCCCAUAAGACUGGGAUAACUACGGGAAACCGGGGAUAAUAACGGAUAAUAUUUUGAAGUGAGUGGUGCAAAAUUGAAAGGCGGCUUCGGCCGGAACUUAUGGAUGGACCCGCGUCGCAUUAGCCAGUUGGUGAGGUAACGGCUCACCAAGGCAAGGAUGCGUAGCCGACCUGAGAGGGUGAUCGGCCACACUGGGACUGAGACACGGCCCAGACUCCUACGGGAGGCAGCAGUAGGGAAUCUACCGCAAUGGACGAAAGUCUGACGGAGCAACGCCGCGUGAGUGAUGAAGGCUUUCGGGUCGUAAAACUCUGUUGUUAGGGAAGAACAAGUGCUAGUUGAAUAAGCUGGCACCUUGACGGUACCUAACCAGAAAGCCACGGCUAACUACGUGCCAGCCGCCGCCGUAA
Molecule: ribosomal RNA, 515 nt
Filed under: uncultured bacterium
Lineage: Bacteria
Description: partial 16S ribosomal RNA
Rfam family: Bacterial small subunit ribosomal RNA
Source: RNAcentral